Molecule: ribosomal RNA, 999 nt
Filed under: Flavobacterium sp.
Lineage: Bacteria; Pseudomonadati; Bacteroidota; Flavobacteriia; Flavobacteriales; Flavobacteriaceae
Description: bacterial SSU rRNA
Rfam family: Bacterial small subunit ribosomal RNA
Source: RNAcentral
UGGGCGACGGCGGCUUACACAUGCAAGUCGAGGGGUAUAGCUCUUCGGUGCUAGAGACCGGCGCACGGGUGCGUAACGCGUAUGCAAUCUGCCUUUCACAGAGGGAUAGCCCAGAGAAAUUUGGAUUAAUACCUCAUAGUAUUAUAGAGCGGCAUCACUUUAUAAUUAAAGUCACAACGGUGAAAGAUGAGCAUGCGUCCCAUUAGCUAGUUGGUAAGGUAACGGCUUACCAAGGCCACGAUGGGUAGGGGUCCUGAGAGGGAGAUCCCCCACCCUGGUACUGAGACACGGACCACACUCCUACGGGAGGCAGCAGUGAGGAAUAUUGGUCAAUGGACGCAAGUCUGAACCAGCCAUGCCGCGUGCAGGAUGACGGUCCUAUGGAUUGUAAACUGCUUUUGUACGAGAAGAAACACUCCUAUGUAUAGGAGCUUGACGGUAUCGUAAGAAUAAGGAUCGGCUAACUCCGUGCCAGCAGCCGCGGUAAUACGGAGGAUCCAAGCGUUAUCCGGAAUCAUUGGGUUUAAAGGGUCCGUAGGCGGUUUAGUAAGUCAGUGGUGAAAGCCCAUCGCUCAACGGUGGAACGGCCAUUGAUACUGCUGAACUUGAAUUACUGGGAAGUAACUAGAAUAUGUAGUGUAGCGGUGAAAUGCUUAGAUAUUACAUGGAAUACCAAUUGCGAAGGCAGGUUACUACCAGUUUAUUGACGCUGAUGGACGAAAGCGUGGGGAGCGAACAGGAUUAGAUACCCUGGUAGUCCACGCCGUAAACGAUGGAUACUACUGUUGGCGCAAGUUCAGUGGCUAAGCGAAAGUGAUAAGUAUCCCACCUGGGCGAGUACGAACGCAAGUUGAAACUCAAAGGAAUUGAAGGGGGGCCCUCACAAGCGGUGGAGCAUGUGGUUAAUUUGAUGAUACUCUAGGAACCUUACUAAGGCUUUAAUGCAGACUGACCGAUUUGGAACCCAUCUUUCCGCAGACCUUUUCAAGUGCUGGAUGG